GAAGACUCUGUGGAACUGGUUUUGGGCAGAAAAGCCAUGCUUCAUUUGGUCACAAAGGACGUUGAUCUAACUUUUGACCCACUGGACCAAUUUGUAUGAUUUUGACGUAUGUUGGUAUUUGGAGUAUGCUGAUUCUGAAAAAUGUAAGUUUUAUGUGAGUGUAUUUUCCUGCCUGUGAUAAUUAUAUUAACCCAUUGUGUAAGGUAAUUGUAUCACAGGCAGAGGGGAGGAUUUUGUGUGGGAGUGUCUGAGUGUAUUGUACAUGUUUAUUGGUUGUUUUACAAAACCCUGUGGGUGGUACUAAUGUGUAGGAAUGUGUAUAUAAGAACAAUAAAUCCACAGUUCAGUCAGUUCUACUUCACCCUCAAUUUGGAGUGUCGUCUCUUAUUGGGGGAACCUGCUACAAGGGAUUGCUAUGCUCUGCAUACUCUCUUGCUAUAUUUACUGCUAAUCUCUUGUAAAAGCUUGUUCCUGUUUUUGCUCUGUGAAGGAGUCUACGGUUGCUAUGGUGUCUGCUGGAGUGCUGGAAACCCUCAGGAAGCGCUAGGAGCAUACUUCAACGGAGGUGCCCAGUCGGGGUGCCAGGUGAUCCGUUACAAGGGGGAUACAGUAGGUAGUGGUGAG
Non-coding RNA from Pelobates cultripes (western spadefoot toad), 624 nucleotides. Lineage: Eukaryota; Metazoa; Chordata; Amphibia; Anura; Pelobatidae. The record is from the annotation of a GenBank genome assembly.